CCGCUGUGAGAGCAGAGAGGAGGCACUGUUGUCUUUAGGCGUACAGUCUGUAUAUAAAGAAAGCCCCUCUGAGAUCCAUUGAACCUGUUCAACUCCCACUGGCCGUCAAUAUCGCGGUGAAACCUAACGUUACCUACCUUGCUCACACAAAAAGUUCCUGACGAGCACCGGAAUGAAACGGUUCUGUCGGUUCAGUGGAAACACCAUUGAGGAGGGGAUUGUUGCUCAUGAAAGACUGUGGAUCAUGGACACAGUCAGCUAACGAGGGCAAGCUUGAGUCUUCAAAUCCAUACAUUAGGAAGGAAGAGGAAAUAACAUCCAACAUAGACACCAUCAUCACAAAGGCCCAGCAGAGGAUGAACGUGCCUCAGGAGCAGCAGCCAUGGAUUUGAAAUCAACCUGUGGCCCUUUGCUGCAUGUCGCCCCUUCUCUCUCUUGUUUUCCUGUCUAUCUUCAACUGUCCUAUCUUAUAAAGGCAAAAAGCCCCCAAAAAUAUAUAUUAGAAAAAUAAUAAUAAUUACACAAUUUAUACAUUUAAAUGUAGAGCUUUUCCACAGCAUAUUCCUCUUUUAAAGUCUGGAAAUAAUUGUCUCAUUUGUUAUUGAAUAAAAUGUUUUUAUGCCUUUACCUA
Molecule: long non-coding RNA, 631 nt
Organism: Morone saxatilis (striped sea-bass)
Lineage: Eukaryota; Metazoa; Chordata; Actinopteri; Moronidae
Exons: 3
Source: RefSeq, a predicted model, not a curated record